GGCAACUUGGCCGAGUGGUCUAAGGCGCUGGAAUUAGGCAAUAAAUCCAGUCCGCAAGGGCGUGAGUUCGAACCUCACAGUUGUCA
Tricholoma furcatifolium is the source of this 86-nucleotide non-coding RNA. NCBI's taxonomy places the organism in Eukaryota, Fungi, Basidiomycota, Agaricomycetes, Agaricales, Tricholomataceae. The record is from the annotation of a GenBank genome assembly.